This 270-nucleotide long non-coding RNA is filed under the name Elaeis guineensis (African oil palm). Its description in RNAcentral is "long non-coding RNA (EGUI_LNC078310)". Lineage: Eukaryota; Viridiplantae; Streptophyta; Magnoliopsida; Arecales; Arecaceae. The record is from RNAcentral.
AGAAGCUUCAAAAUCGGGACCACCUAUCAUAUCUUCAUGCAUGGAGGGAUAACCUCACUACUCACAAGAUUGUGGAAACUCCCACUAUCGAAGAAAGCAAAAGUUUUCUUGUGGUUAAUAGUGAACAACAUAAUACUAGUAGGUGAAAACCUACAGAAAAGAAGAUGGAACGGUCCGAUGGUUGUGUCUUAUGUAGAAAUUUAGAUAAAACUUGAACCACAUCUUUCUCUUGCAUCCAUUUGCACAACAAGUUUGGCAAUAAUCCAGGCU